Molecule: small nuclear RNA, 164 nt
Filed under: Castor canadensis (American beaver)
Lineage: Eukaryota; Metazoa; Chordata; Mammalia; Rodentia; Castoridae
Description: U1 spliceosomal RNA (ENSCCNG00000011674.1)
Rfam family: U1 spliceosomal RNA
About the family: U1 is a small nuclear RNA (snRNA) component of the spliceosome (involved in pre-mRNA splicing). Its 5' end forms complementary base pairs with the 5' splice junction, thus defining the 5' donor site of an intron.
Source: Rfam by way of RNAcentral
AUACUUACCUGGCAGGGGAGAUACCAAGAUCACGAAUGUAGUUUUCACAGGGCGAGGCUUAUCCAUUGCACUCCAGAUGUGCUGAGCACUGCAAUUUUCCCAAAUGUGCAAAACUCAAUUGUAUAAUUUGUGGUAAUGGGGGACUGUGUUCAUGCUUUCCCUUG